Molecule: ribosomal RNA, 293 nt
Filed under: uncultured bacterium
Lineage: Bacteria
Description: partial 16S ribosomal RNA
Rfam family: Bacterial small subunit ribosomal RNA
Source: RNAcentral
GUGCCAGCAGCCGCGGUAAUACGUAGGGUCCAAGCGUUGUCCGGAUUUAUUGGGCGUAAAGAGCUCGUAGGCGGUUUCGUAAGUCGGAUGUGAAAACUCAGGGCUCAACCCGGAGACGCCAUCUGAUACUGCGAUGACUGGAGUCUGGUAGGGGAUCACGGAAUACCUGGUGUAGCGGUGAAAUGCGCAGAUAUCAGGUGGAACACCGAUGGCGAAGGCAGUGAUCUGGGCCAGUACUGACGCUGAGGAGCGAAAGCGUGGGGAGCAAACAGGAUUAGAUACCCUUGUAGUCC